Molecule: transfer RNA, 70 nt
Filed under: Araneus ventricosus
Lineage: Eukaryota; Metazoa; Arthropoda; Arachnida; Araneae; Araneidae
Description: tRNA-Asp
Source: RNAcentral
CUCCCCGGCGGGGAAUCGAACCUCGGUUCCGCGUGACAGGCGGGAUACUCACCCACUAUACUACCAGGAC